AAGUUAUUGCCAUUGACAAUAUUUUUGCACAUACAAUCACUGCGCAAAUGCAUUGGCUCAGUGGAGAAAGAACGCCGAGGACACAGUAUUGAAUUGUAAAUAAAAAGAGAGACAAAUUCAAACGAAAUGGCUAAAGAAAAAGUACAGGUGAGUUAAUAGCUCACAGCUUUUUAAUGAGAAGAUUCACUCCAUGUUCAGGUUCUAUAACCAACCUAAGAGCUGGGGCGUGAAUGUAUUUGGGUGAUAUAGUGAAGGAGAAAUUGGAAACGAUAGUUGCGAUGAGGAUUUUGAGUUCUGCCAUGGCAAAAUGCUGUCCGAGACAUGUCCGUGGCCCAACACCAAAGGGCAUGUAAACAUGAGGAUGCUUGCAGGCGCCACUGACCCCAUUGGCAAACCUCUCAGGAUUGAACUUGUCAGCGUCAGAUCCCCAUAUUUCAGGGUCUUGGUGUAGGGUUACAAUCAAGGUCCAAACGUUGACACCCUUGGGCACAAAAAUGUCUCCAAAUUUCAUGUCCUGUAACGCCUCCCUGGAUAUCACACAAACUGGAGGGUAGAGGCGCAGAGAUUCAUGAAUCACCAUCGUCAACUGCAAUCAAUCAAGUUGCUUAUUAGUCAAUUGGAUGAUGUUUUAACAGUUAAAGUAACCGGAGAGAUGACUCAAUCGGAAGGGCUAGCAUAGAAGAAAGCACUCACUGUUUUCAUCCUGCGAACCAUGCCAGCAUCAGGCAUUUGCCCCCCACAGACCUCAAGCACCUCGGCUCGAACUCUAUCUUGCCAUUCAGGAUUUGAUCCCAAAAGCAUCAUUGUCCAUGUUGCAGUGACGGAAGUUGUUUCAUAGCCAGCCAAGUAUAUGUUCUUGCAAUUGUCAACAACGAAACGGUCCAUUUCAGCUUUGCUGGUCUCACUAUCCUUGGCUCCUUUCAGGAUUAUUUCUAACAGGUCCUUCGAUGUUUGUUCCUUUUCUUCCUUCACUUCCUUCAAAAUUAAAGCACGCACUUCUUUCUCUAAUCUCCAAACUUCUCUGUUGCUCUUAGUUGGUAGAGCCCUGAAAAAUCACAAAGUUAACCCUUGCUCUUAAGUACUAAACUUUUUGAUAAAUUUCAAUAUAAAAAACUGAAGCUGUAAAGCUGUGUACCUCAAAAUGGGAAUCCCAGAAGACAAAGCUUUCUUUGACAUGGCUCCUUGAAGAGCUCUAAGCUUGAGGAAUAUCUCUUCUCCUUUGGCAUAAUUACUCCCAAAACAUGCUUUUGAAAUCACAUCUCCAGAGAAGCUUCUCAUGUCUUCAUCAACGUUGAUGUCCACAACUCCUCCCUCACUUUCAAUCCUUUUAGUCCACGAAUCAACUACUAUAUUCGAGGAUUCGACCAUGAUGCUCAUGAAAUUCUACAAAAGUUGGACCAUUGUUAAAAUAGCAAGAAAUUGUAGAUGUGUGUGUGUGCAUGUCUGAGCGCGCGCGCUCAUGGGAUGCCAAUGAUUGAAGCACAUUUUACCUUGACAUUCUCCAUGUAAAAUUCAGGAGCAAGGAUCUUUCUCUGAUGUGCCCAUAUAGCACCAUUUGAGGUCAGAAUACCUUGGCCAAGCAGAGGACCGCGCUCUUUUACUUGGUAAGAAGGCUUCCCCAAGUCUAAGGAAGUGCAGAUGCUGAUUUCCUUCACCGCAUCAGGAUGGUUCAUAUGCAAUAUCUGUAUGUUCCCAAGCGAGAACAUGAAUGUUGAACCUGAAAAAUGAAAGUAAUUAGACUCUCUUCAAUUGAAAUGAUAUGAUUUCAACAUAAUUAAACAUGGUGUGUUGGAGUUAAAAAUGAGAGAUUUAAGAGUUGAUCUAUACCAUAUUUCUUGCUCCAUUGCUCGAAGAAUGAGAAGGGAGUGUUGGAAGAAUUAUGACUUAUCACUUGUUCUCCUUCCCGUGAUGCUUUUGAGACCUUAGAUCGUGCCUUCUUAAUGUCCCGUAUGUUUCCAAGCAAAAAUGCAGGCGGUGGACCUCGGAUACCUUGCUUUCGUAGCUUCGAACGAAGCUUUUCUGGCUUGAAUAUUAGAGCAUCACACAUCCGUAUGACAAUGCUGACAAGGCCGAUAAGAGCAACGGCAACUGUGACCUUGGGCAGCAGCAGCAGCAGCUCCAUGUUUUGUUCCCCUCUGUCUUCCCAACUGCAACCGUGCAAGUACUUUUCUCCCUGAUGCAAGCUUACUUAUACAUUUAGUUGCCUUGGACUUCUCACAUAUCAAGCUAUAUAUUCCAGAUUAUAAUAAUCUGAAAGAAGAGUCCUAAUUAGCAACGUAGUUAUGAAAUUCUAGUCUUUUUUGGAUUAUGAAUUUUAACUUGAGCUGUAUAUACCUCAGAGAGGCACAAGAGAGAAUAUUGCCAAUAAGACAACAAUAGGAAUUACCCAGCAUAUAAACGUUGUGGCCUUUUGGAUUGAUAAGGAGGCUACUUGGCUCCUCGGUUGGUUUGUCCUGGACCUCAGGAUGAUCACCGCCUAAAAGCCUAUGGCCAAUACUAGCGCUAUCUUCCGAAAGAUCAUAAUGUGAUAUCUAUUUUGGUUUAAAGAAUUUUUUUUAUAUAAAUGUAUUAAAAUACUAUUUUUUAAUUUUUAAAAAUUAUUUUUGAUACUAAAAAACAUCAAUUUUUUGCACUUAGUAAUUUUCAAUAUCCCAAAUAUCGGACGUUAUGUUUUUGGCAUCUGUCUAAAGGUGCCUUAUGCUGUCGGUAUGUAAUCAUGUUCUUUCUGGAUUUUUGCUAAGGUGGUAUCAACCCUCCUUUUUUUCUUUUUUUCUUUUUUGAGAACAUGCAAUUGCAGAAGCUCCUUGGUGCUGUGAACCUCCAUCAAUAAUGGUAUAGUAAAUCUUCACAGCGACUUAUAAGAACUAAGAUUAAUGAUGAGAGGAUGAGGAAUGUCAUGCCAAAUGCAUAUUGAAGUUUUGGAGGAAGGGAUGAUGAUGCCGCGAUGUCUUGUAUGCUAGCUUUUUCAAUGUUUCUGUUUUGACGAAAAUGACGAAUGUAUACAAAAUCCUUUUAAUUACUAACUAUAAAUUAAAAGGCAUUAUUUUUUUUUUUACUGUGAAUUACAUCAUAAAAACUGAUGCCUUUUAGUUAUAAUUUUUUUUUCUGUUUUUUAAUUAAUUUUUUUUGUUUAAUUUAAUUUGUUAAUAUUAAUUUUUUUUCUAUUUAGUUAUAAUAUUCUUAUAACAUGGAUACCAGGUUUCACAAAUUAACCUAGUUUAUUCAGAUUUUUUUUAUUUAGUAAUUUUCUUACGAUAGAUUUUUUUGUUUUGUUUUUUUUAAUUAAUCUUUUUUUUUGUUUAAUUUAGUUCAUUAAUAUUAUUUUUUUCUAUUUAGUUAUCACACUCUCAUGACAUGAAUCCCAAGUUUGACGGGUUAACCUGAUUUGACGAGUUAACCCAGUUGAUUCAAUUUUUUUUUUCAUUAGUUUUUUUUCUUUCAAUUUCAUCUUUUAAUAUUGUAACUAUAACUAAAUGAGGUCAAACUUUUACUGGGGAUUGCACUAUGCAAAUUCACAGUGAAAGACAAAUGCCUUUUAGUUAUAGGUUUUUUUUUGCUUUUUUCUUUUGAAUUAAUCUUUUUUUUAAUUUAGUUCGUUAAUAUUAAAUUUUUUUUUUGUAUUUAGUUAUCACACUCUCAUGACACGGAUCUCAGGUUUGAUAUGUUAACUUGGUUUGACGGGUUAACCUAGUUGAUUCAUUUUUUUUUUAUUAAUUAGUUUUUUCUUCCAAUUUCAUCUUUUAAUAUCGAUUUGAUUGAGAAUUAAAUUUCAUAAUUUGUUUUGUUUACUUUUCAUUAUAUUAUUGUGAUCUUAUGAGUGAAUUUUACUAUACUCCUCCUCGCAAAGCACUAUUCAUUGGAAUAGUUCUUUGCUUUGUUGUUUUUUUCUUUUCAAUUAAUUUUGUUUGUUUAAUUUCAUUAUGUAAUAUUAAUUUUUUUUAUUUAAUUAUCAUAUUUUCAUGACACGACCUUGCAGCCAGAUUCAUAUCCAAGGCUCUUGGGUUUAGUAUUGCAACAAGACCCAAGGCUCUUGAGUCUGACUUUGCAGGCAAACUUACUUAAACUUAAGUCAUGCAAGUUUAAUAUUAUUAUUAAUAUUAAAAAUAUUAUUAUUUGUAUUAUAAAUAUUACUAUUGAGUCAGGCGUUGCAGCCAGACCCAAGACUCUUGGAUCUCGCUUUACAGAUAGACCUAACACUCUUGGAUCUUAGAUUUUUUUACAUUUUUUAUGCCAAAAAAUUGAUCCACGGCGUAGUGCGGGCCACCUAACUAGUCUUAACGAAAAUAGCAUCGCCAAAUAAAAACCCUUUAUUAAUGGGAGUUCAUUCAUACCAAUUUUAAACUCAUAAUUAUCUGAUUUGAUUGUUUAAAGAUUUUAAAUUAAAAAACUAAAAACUUAAUUAUUUUAGUUUGAUUUUGUGUUUAAAAAUGAUAUUUGUAAAAAAAACGUUGUUUGAGAGGCCGGAAUAAUUAUUUUAGUUGUGUUUUAUGCCACAACUCGAUUCCCAGAUCUAUAACUGACACUUAGAGAAGGUCCCCUUCCAAAGUUUCAUAUAUAUGCAAACCCAAAUUUAUACACGAACUUAUCUUUUAAAUAACUCAAUUUGAGUUCAACGCAACACUAAUAACAAAACUAACUUCAUUGUAUAGUUUGAUUAUUUUAAUAUAAGAAUUAAUAUAAAUUCAUAGUUGUGGAGCAUUAACUAGACAUAAAGGAAAAAUGAUUACAAUAAAAAAACAGGUUCUGAAGGUCCAACAAAAGUGACCCGCUAACAAGUUAUAAGCUUGAAAAAGAUAAAUAAUGAAGGAGUGAGUUCAACAACUCAGUGAGUAGAUAACGUUUAAUAUAUAUACACGAGGUAUAUAUAUGAAAGUUUCUCAAAUAGAUCAUAAAAAUAUCAUAAGGUAAAACUUGUUAUAAAAUCAAAAUGCAAUGAGUAUGAGGCACCGUACUAUGAGAUGAUCAAUCCAUAUAGGUUGAUGACUCCCCCGAUCAACUAGGAUUUCAGAUACAAUGUGCACAAAGACUAACACUAUCUUGUUAGUAUGAGUAUUUUAAUUGACAUACAAUAGGUUUCUAUCAUAAUCAAACAUACAAAUUCAUAUCCGAAGGCUUAACUCAUGACAUCAAUUAAAUGAGGAGCUAUCAAUUUAGAAGUCAAUCUAAAAAUGUAUAUUGGCUCAUAUUAAGAAUUCAGCUUUAACAAUUAAUCAUGCUUUAUCGUAACAAAUGAUAAUAAUCAACAUAGAGACACACACACACGAUCCAAUUCGUAUUAAUAAUUCAAAUAUUUAUACUAUUUCUCAUGCAUAUAUAAAAUUAUCUACUCACCUGACUCAAAAGCGAACAUAACUCGAAAGCAAAUACCGAAGGAAAUCUCAUUGAUGUCCCGCAUGUGAAAUAUCAGGAUUAUCUGAAUAUAAAAGAAGACAUUCUAAAAAAUGACUUGAAAAGAAUGUAUAACCUAUUUAAUAAACUUAACUAAGGAUCUAACUCAUAACCCUAUAUGUUUAUAAACUAAACUAGUCAUUUUUUUUCAAAAACCAAAUAAUUAAAUGGUUUUCUCGAAAUUUAAUUCAAGAGAAAACAAAUCAUAAAAGUUGAUAAUAAUUCACCAAAUAACCCUCAAAUAUUCAUCAAACCAAUCUGAAAAAAUUAAAAUUACAGCUAAGACCAAUCUGGAAUUUUAUUAGAUUUUAGGGGUCAAAUUGUAAUUUUAUCAAAUUAGAGGACCAAAAUAAAAAUAUCAUAAAUUCAUAACUAUAUUAGAAUUUUGCCCAUUAUUCAUCCUCAAUUUUGUCUAGAAUCUUUAAUUAUGCUUCAUGGACCAAUUUGUUUUUUCCAAAGUUUAGGGACUAAACUGUAAUUUUCAUAAAUUGAGUUACCAAAAUGAAAUUGUCAUUUUCAACCUCAAAACUAGAUUUUUCCAUAGAUCACCUACUGAUAUAUCAAAAUUUCUAACUCAAAUUCAUCAUUUAAACAAACCAUAACUCAAAAUCAUCAUUGUUACCUAAAAUCUUUUAAAAUCAACUAAAUAACUCAUUACUCAUAACAAUUAACCUUUGAACAUAUCUAAACAAUAAGUUAAAUACCGUUCUGCAAGUCAACAUACAACCCUAGGUCAAAGUUACAAGAAAGUGGACUUGUACAAAUUGAUGUGGUUUUUGUUUUUUUUUUUACAUGCUUUCGAUCAAUUCAAUCGAAAUAAGAGUCUAUCUCAACUUCAAUGGAUUCGCCGUCGGAAGUUCUGUUUGAGCGACAUAGUUGCAAACUUUUUGUAGGCUCCAGGAUUUUUAUGACUAUUUUUGAAUUAUAGAUCAAUACAACAAGAAAUUUUUCUGGGUAUCUUUUGAUGUGCUUUUCUUUGAACUUUUUUACCAUAAAAGCCGCAGUUCUCCCCCGUCAAUAGUAUAUUUGAGUCUCACCAUUUCACUCCUAUGGUAGGAUUUUUUUCGGCUUUGUAUUUUCCAAUCAAACUUGCUCAGCUGACAAAUAUGGUUUGAAACAUAGAGAGGCAGUUUGGGAUUUUUCCAAGCUACCAGAGUCUCCCUUCACUUUGUGCAGGUACCUACUAUCAGAAAGCGAUUUUCUAUGAUUUUCUGUGUAAGCAUUUUUCUCUGCUUUUCCUGACAGUUUGUGCUGUAAUAUGGAAUUAAAUUGUAUUUUAUUUAUUGAUUGAAAAUGUCAUUAAAUUAAGGUUUGCUUCGGCGUGGCUCUCAUAAAUGUCUCUUGUAGCUUCCCCUAGGAUAGAUAACACGAUCGCAUAUGAUCUUUCGUCAGCAUCCAUUAGUUGGGGUAGCAGUUAUCCCAUCUUUGUAUGCACGCUGAUGCCUUCAGAACUUUGCCUUUGGUGUGGUGCUGGCCACGGUCAGUCUGUUCGGUUUUCUCCGCUGGAAUCUCUCUCCUCGGCACUAUAUUAAUGCUCUUAGGUUGCCAGAAAAUUACAUUGAGGUCUGUUACUCCUCCCAUUUCCUGAAAUAACCUUUAAUUGUUAAUGACGUUUUCAUACAAACAUAUAAUAUUAAAUUAAGAUUGUUGACCGGAUUCUUGGCGGAUCCUUCAAUGCUGUACUCGAUCAGGAGCUAGGCCGGAAUGAUUUCUACAAAACUGGGAGUUUGAAACGCUCAGACAGUUUUGAAGUCAGGUAUUUUCAGCUUCUUUCUACUUUGUACACUUUUGGGGUUUAUGUUCAUCGGAAAGAUAGCAUGAAAAAAUUUCAUGGAAGAGACUGAGAGUGAAAAUAGCCAAUUUUUCCAUACAUACAAAAUGGAUGUCACCUCACAAUUCAUCCUCGGCUUCCUGGCAGUGUCAAGCAGAGUCCCUGGUUCAUAAACUUAUCUUUAUUUUAGAGCCAUCAUUCUUUUUCCUUGGUUGAUCGAAAUUAUUGCUUCUGCUGGGUGGGUUUACCAUGAAGAGACUGAUGGGAGUACAUUUCUAGGCCUGGAAAAGGCAGGCGUGAGGCACGGUGGAUGAAGUUAAGAACAGAUUCGAGAUCCAACCAAGAAUGGCUCCAUGAAAAAGAGAAAAAGUCACUGUUCGCAGAGAAUUUGUUGUUGGUUUAGGAUGCCAAAAACCUGACACUGGUGUUUCCCCUUCACUGUGUUGGGUUUCUAUCCAAGGUUUCAUCAUUCGAGCAGAUGAAAACAUUGUUUGCGUGAGCUGUACAAAUCUACACACAACAGGAAACUACAGCUGUCAUAUUCUAGUAUAUCUCCUAUUUAUGUAAAUCCCGAUUGUUAUGGAAUGGUAUGGUAGUUGAUUUCUUUCCAAAGACAGCUAGUAAGGCUAUAAACUGCUAUGUAUAUAUAUAUUCAGUCUCAGAAAUAAAGAGUGAGAAAGAAUUCUUGCAGGAAAUCUCUUUAGGUUAACAAACAUAACCAGCGAAACAAGUUAUUGCCAUUGACAAUAUUUUUGCACAUACAAUCACUGCGCAAAUGCAUUGGCUCAGUGGAGAAAGAACGCCGAGGACACAGUAUUGAAUUGUAAAUAAAAAGAAAGACAAAUUCAAACGAAAUGGCUAAAGAAAAAGUACAGGUGAGUUAAUAGCUCACAGCUUUUUAAUGAGAAGAUUCACUCCGUGCUCAGGUUCUAUAACCAACCAAAGAGCUGGGGCGUGAAUGUAUUUGGGUGAUAUAGUGAAGGAGAAAUUGGAAACGAUCGUUGCGAUGAGGAUUUUGAGUUCUGCCAUGGCAAAAUGCUGUCCGAGACAUGUCCGUGGCCCAACACCAAAGGGCAUGUAAACAUGAGGAUGCUUGCAGGCGCCACUGACCCCAUUGGCAAACCUCUCAGGAUUGAACUUGUCAGCGUCAGAUCCCCAUAUUUCAGGGUCUUGGUGUAGGGUUACAAUCAAGGUCCAAACGUUGACACCCUUGGGCACAAAAAUGUCUCCAAAUUUCAUGUCCUGUAACGCCUCCCUGGAUAUCACACAAACUGGAGGGUAGAGGCGCAGAGAUUCAUGAAUCACCAUCGUCAACUGCAAUCAAUCAAGUUCCUUAGUCAAUUGGAUGAUGUUGUAACAGUUAAAGUAACCAGAGAGAUGGCUCAAGCGAAAGGGCUAGCAUAGAAGAAAUCACUCACUGUUUUCAUCCUGCGAACCAUGUCAGCAUCAGGCAUUUGCCCCCCACAGACCUCAAGCACCUCGGCUCGAACUCUAUCUUGCCAUUCAGGAUUUGAUCCCAAAAGCAUCAUUGUCCAUGUUGCAGUGACGGAAGUUGUUUCAUAGCCAGCCAAGUAUAUGUUCUUGCAAUUGUCAACAACGAAACGGUCCAUUUCAGCUUUGCUGGUCUC
This 8787-nucleotide long non-coding RNA is filed under the name Populus trichocarpa (black cottonwood). RNAcentral describes it as "long non-coding RNA (PTRI_LNC002072)". Lineage: Eukaryota; Viridiplantae; Streptophyta; Magnoliopsida; Malpighiales; Salicaceae. The record is from RNAcentral.